This 655-nucleotide ribosomal RNA is filed under the name Vibrio sp. C6b. RNAcentral's name for it is "bacterial SSU rRNA". It matches the Rfam family "Bacterial small subunit ribosomal RNA", at positions 37 to 671 of the family's 1533-position model. The record is from RNAcentral. Lineage: Bacteria; Pseudomonadati; Pseudomonadota; Gammaproteobacteria; Vibrionales; Vibrionaceae.
UGGCGGCAGGCCUAACACAUGCAAGUCGAGCGGAAACGACACUAACAAUCCUUCGGGUGCGUUAAUGGGCGUCGAGCGGCGGACGGGUGAGUAAUGCCUAGGAAAUUGCCUUGAUGUGGGGGAUAACCAUUGGAAACGAUGGCUAAUACCGCAUAAUGCCUACGGGCCAAAGAGGGGGACCUUCGGGCCUCUCGCGUCAAGAUAUGCCUAGGUGGGAUUAGCUAGUUGGUGAGGUAAUGGCUCACCAAGGCGACGAUCCCUAGCUGGUCUGAGAGGAUGAUCAGCCACACUGGAACUGAGACACGGUCCAGACUCCUACGGGAGGCAGCAGUGGGGAAUAUUGCACAAUGGGCGAAAGCCUGAUGCAGCCAUGCCGCGUGUAUGAAGAAGGCCUUCGGGUUGUAAAGUACUUUCAGUUGUGAGGAAGGGGGUAGCGUUAAUAGCGCUAUCUCUUGACGUUAGCAACAGAAGAAGCACCGGCUAACUYCGUGCCARCAGCCGCGGUAAUACGGAGGGUGCCGAGCGUUAAUCGGAAUUACUGGGCGUAAAGCGCAUGCAGGUGGUCAUUAAGUCANAUGUGAAAGCCCNGGGCUCAACCUCGGAACUGCAUUUGAAACUGGUGAACUAGAGUACUGUAAAAGGGGGUAGAAUUUCA